Long non-coding RNA from Octopus sinensis (East Asian common octopus), 273 nucleotides. RefSeq lists it as uncharacterized. Lineage: Eukaryota; Metazoa; Mollusca; Cephalopoda; Octopoda; Octopodidae. The transcript has 3 exons. The record is from RefSeq and is a predicted model, not a curated record.
UGGAGGACCAUUAGAGGAAGACAUGCUCAAGUUGAUACAAAGAUAAUCAAGAAUUGUCAUGCAAAAUUCAUGACUACAGGAUUUGUAGCUGAUACUUGAAGUGGUCGUCCUUCCAAUUCAUCAAGGUCCGCAUGACUGGCUGGCCAGAAGCCCUGAUUUAACACCCUGCGACUGUUUCCUUUGGGGUUGAUUAAAGGAGGAAGUCUUCUCGACCAAACCAAUGACUUUGGAAGAACUUGAAGGGUGAAUACGAGAAGUUCACGUAAUUCUGGA